UUUCGCAAUGCCCGAAAGGGUGACGAAGCGACGCCGCGUGGGUGAGGAAGGCCCUCGGGUUGUAAAGCCCUGUCAGGAGUUAAGAAAUGUAAGUGCGCUAAUAUCGCAUUUAUUUGACGAAGGCUCCAAAGGAAGCCACGGCUAACUCUGUGCCAGCAGCCGCGGUAAUACAGAGGUGGCAAGCGUUGUUCGGAAUUAUUGGGCGUAAAGAGCACGUAGGUGGGUUUGUAAGUCAGAUGUGAAAGCCUUCUGUUCAACGGAAGAAUUGCAUCUGAAACUACAAGUCUUGAGUGUAGGAGGGGAGAAUGGAACUUCUGGUGGAGCGGUGAAAUGCGUAGAUAUCAGAAGGAACGCCGGCGGCGAAAGCGAUUCUCUGGCCUAUUACUGACACUCAGUGUGCGAAAGCUAGGGGAGCAAACGGGAUUAGAUACCCCGGUAGUCCUAGCCGUAAACGAUGGGCACUAAGUAGAGGGGUUUUA
Molecule: ribosomal RNA, 479 nt
Filed under: uncultured anaerobic ammonium-oxidizing bacterium
Lineage: Bacteria
Description: bacterial SSU rRNA
Rfam family: Bacterial small subunit ribosomal RNA
Source: RNAcentral